CCCAGACUCCUACGGGAGGCAGCAGUGGGGAAUAUUGCACAAUGGGGGAAACCCUGAUGCAGCAACGCCGCGUGAGUGAAGAAGUAUUUCGGUAUGUAAAGCUCUAUCAGCAGGGAAGAAGAAGGACGGUACCUGACUAAGAAGCCCCGGCUAACUACGUGCCAGCAGCCGCGGUAAUACGUAGGGGGCGAGCGUUAUCCGGAUUUACUGGGUGUAAAGGGAGCGUAGACGGUUAAUCAAGUCUGAAGUGAAAGCCCGCGGCUCAACUGCGGAACGGCUUUGGAAACUGAGUAACUGGAGUGCUGGAGGGGCAGGCGGAAUUCCUGGUGUAGCGGUGAAAUGCGUAGAUAUCAGGAGGAACACCGGUGGCGAAGGCGGCCUGCUGGACAGUAACUGACGUUGAGGCUCGAAAGCGUGGGGAGCAAACAGGAUUAGAUACCCGCGUAUA
This 448-nucleotide ribosomal RNA is filed under the name uncultured bacterium. RNAcentral describes it as "bacterial SSU rRNA". It matches the Rfam family "Bacterial small subunit ribosomal RNA", at positions 330 to 794 of the family's 1533-position model. The record is from RNAcentral.